GAUGAACGCUAGCGGCAGGCCUAAUACAUGCAAGUCGGACGGGAUUCAGGAGCUUGCUUCUGAUGAGAGUGGCGCACGGGUGCGUAACACGUAUGUAACCUACCUUUAUCAGGGGGAUAGCCUCUCGAAAGAGAGAUUAAGCCCGCAUAAAAUCACAGCACAGCAUUGUGUAAUGAUCAAAUAUUUAUAGGAUAAAGAUGGGCAUGCGGAACAUUAGCUAGAUGGCGGGGUAACGGCCCACCAUGGCGACGAUGUUUAGGGGAUCUGAGAGGAUGGCCCCCCACAAUGGUACUGAGACACGGACCAGACUCCUACGGAAGGCAGCAGUAAGGAAUAUUGGUCAAUGGGCGGAAGCCUGAACCAGCCAUGCCGCGUGCAGGAAGACGGCCCUACGGGUUGUAAACUGCUUUUAUACGGGAAUAAACCCAGAUACGUGUAUCUGGCUGAAUGUACUGUAAGAAUAAGGAUCGGCUAACUCCGUG
RNAcentral lists this ribosomal RNA (482 nucleotides) under uncultured bacterium. Its description in RNAcentral is "partial 16S ribosomal RNA". It matches the Rfam family "Bacterial small subunit ribosomal RNA", at positions 28 to 507 of the family's 1533-position model. The record is from RNAcentral.